RNAcentral lists this ribosomal RNA (253 nucleotides) under uncultured bacterium. RNAcentral describes it as "partial 16S ribosomal RNA". It matches the Rfam family "Bacterial small subunit ribosomal RNA", at positions 524 to 776 of the family's 1533-position model. The record is from RNAcentral.
GACGUAGGGCGCGAGCGUUGUCCGGAUUUAUUGGGCGUAAAGAGCUCGUAGGCGGCUUGUCGCGUCGUCCGUGAAAACCCACAGCUCAACUGUGGGCUUGCGGUCGAUACGGGCAGGCUAGAGUUCGGUAGGGGAGACUGGAAUUCCUGGUGUAGCAGUGAAAUGCGUAGAUAUCAGGAGGAACACCGAUGGCGAAGGCAGGUCUCUGGGCUGACACUGACGCUCAUGCACGAAAGCGUGGGGAGCAAACAGG